UGUCUUUUUGAAAAUAAUAUAAAGUCUAAUCUGCCCACUGAUUUUAAUUGAAGGGCUGCAGUAUAUUGACUGUACAAAGGUAGCAUAAUCAUUAGUCAUUUAAUUGGUGACUUGUAUGAAGGAUUGGAUGAGAUAUAAUCUGUCUCUUAAUUAUAAAAUAGAAUUUAAUUUUUUAAUUAAAAAGUUAAAAUAUGUUAAAAAGACGAGAAGACCCUAUAGAGUUUUAUAAUUUAAGAUAAUUAAGAUUAUUUAUAAAAUAAAAAUUGAAAUUAUUUUAUUUAUUUUGUUGGGGUGACAGAAAAAUAUAAAAAACUUUUUAUAUAGAGAAACAUUGAUAAAUGAUUAGAUGAUCCAAUAUUAUUGAUUAUAAGAAAAAAUUACCUUAGGGAUAACAGCGUAAUUUUUUUUUUUAGUUCACAUAAAAAAAAGAGUUUGCGACCUCGAUGUUGGAUUAAGAUAAAAUUUAAAUGCAGAAG
RNAcentral lists this ribosomal RNA (476 nucleotides) under Sesamia jansei. Its description in RNAcentral is "partial large subunit ribosomal RNA". The record is from RNAcentral. Lineage: Eukaryota; Metazoa; Arthropoda; Insecta; Lepidoptera; Noctuidae.